This 73-nucleotide transfer RNA is filed under the name Macroscelides flavicaudatus (Namib round-eared sengi). Its description in RNAcentral is "tRNA-Asn". It matches the Rfam family "tRNA". Rfam says of the family: Transfer RNA (tRNA) molecules are approximately 80 nucleotides in length. Their secondary structure includes four short double-helical elements and three loops (D, anti-codon, and T loops). Further hydrogen bonds mediate the characteristic L-shaped molecular structure. tRNAs have two regions of fundamental functional importance: the anti-codon, which is responsible for specific mRNA codon recognition, and the 3' end, to which the tRNAs corresponding amino acid is attached (by aminoacyl-tRNA synthetases). tRNAs cope with the degeneracy of the genetic code in two manners: having more than one tRNA (with a specific anti-codon) for a particular amino acid; and 'wobble' base-pairing, i.e. permitting non-standard base-pairing at the 3rd anti-codon position. The record is from RNAcentral. Lineage: Eukaryota; Metazoa; Chordata; Mammalia; Macroscelidea; Macroscelididae.
UAGAUUGAAGCCAGUUGCCUAGGGUGUUUAGCUGUUAACUAAGAGUUUGCAGGAUAGAAGCCUGCCAAUCUAG